GACGAACGCUGGCGGCGUGCUUAACACAUGCAAGUCGAACGGAAAGGCCCUGCUUUGGUGGGGUGGUCGAGGGGCGAACGGGGGAGUAACACGUGAGUAACCUGUCCUUGACUUUGGGGUAACUUCAGGAAACUGGGGCUAAUACCGGAUAGGAGCUCCUGCUGCAUGGUGGGGGUUGGAAAGAUUCGGCGGUUGGGGAUGGAAUAGCGUCUCAUGAGCUUGUUGGUGGGGUAGUGGCUUACCAAGGCUAGGAAACGUAGCAGGCCUGAGAGGGGGACCUGCCACACUGCGCCUGGGAUGCGACCCAGACCACACCGGUACGGAAGGGUGCAGAGUAUUACACUAGGGACUGAGGCCAAAUGUAGCAACGCCGCGUGGGGGAUGACGGGCUUCGGGUUGUAUACCGCUUCCGCUUGAGACGAAGCGAGAGUGACGGUACUGGGUAAAGAAGCACCGGCUAACUACGUG
Molecule: ribosomal RNA, 468 nt
Filed under: uncultured bacterium
Lineage: Bacteria
Description: partial 16S ribosomal RNA
Rfam family: Bacterial small subunit ribosomal RNA
Source: RNAcentral